AAAUAAGUAUAGUAAGAUUAUUUUUAAUUAAAUUAAUAAAUAAUUAUUUAUGUAAUUAACAAAAUAAAUAUUAUGAAAAACUUAAAAAUUAAGAUUUUAAGCUGAUAUAUAAGUUCUAUUAUUUAAUUUAAUUUGAAUAUUAAAAAUACAAUUUUAAUUUGUAAUUCAUAUCAAUAAAUGUAAUAAAUCAGCACACAUAUAAAAACAAAAAAACUAAAUUUUAAUAUUUAAUAUUUGUUAAUAAAAAAGUAACCAAUAAUUAUUAAUUUAAGUAUUAUUUUUACAGAUAUAUUUUUAAAAAUAUAAAUAUGUUGUUAAUAAAAUUAUCAAAUUUUAAAUGCGUUUAUUAAAUGCGUUCGUCUAAGAUUAUUAUUUAAGAUUAUUCUUGUAUAUAUAUUUCAUUUUUUAUAAUUCUACUCAAAAAAAUGUACCACAUAAUAAAUAUUUUAGUAGCAUAGUAAUUUGUUAACUAAUUAUUAAAGUGUUCCAUAGAAAUUUUUAAAAUAAAACAAACAAAGUAAAAAAAGAAUUAAAAUAAAAAUUUUAAUUAAAAUUAAAAAAUUAAAAUAGGGAGAGCCCUACUCUCCUUUACAAAGAGAACAUAAAUUUAUAUGUAAUUGUAUGUUUGAUUGGGGCAAUACUAUAUCUUGUUAUAUAGAAUAAGAACUAUAAUUAUUGAAAUAAUAAAAGGUUCGAGCAGGUUAACAAGCAUUAAAACUAAAUGUGUUUCAUCGUCUACUUAUUACAAAAAAAUUGAUUGUUCAUCAAAAGUGUAAUUCGUUAGUUGGGUUAAAAU
This 796-nucleotide ribosomal RNA is filed under the name Trypanosoma sp. Cyca 7. RNAcentral describes it as "partial 12S ribosomal RNA". The stretch from base 332 to 796 matches the Rfam family "Trypanosomatid mitochondrial large subunit ribosomal RNA", at positions 1 to 464 of the family's 561-position model. Lineage: Eukaryota; Euglenozoa; Kinetoplastea; Trypanosomatida; Trypanosomatidae. The record is from RNAcentral.